CCUACGGGGGGCUGCAGUGAGGAAUAUUGCACAAUGGGGGAAACCCUGAUGCAGCAACGCCGCGUGGAGGAUGACGCAUUUCGGUGUGUAAACUCCUUUUAUGAGUCAAGAAAAUGACGGUAGCUCAUGAAUAAGCACCGGCUAACUCCGUGCCAGCAGCCGCGGUAAUACGGAGGGUGCAAGCGUUACUCGGAAUCACUGGGCGUAAAGGACGCGUAGGCUGUUUAGCAAGUCAGGUGUGAAAUCCUAUGGCUCAACCAUAGAACUGCACUUGAAACUGCUAGACUAGAGUAUGGGAGGGGGAGAUGGAAUUAGUGGUGUAGGGGUAAAAUCCGUAGAUAUCACUAGGAAUAUCUAAAGCGAAGGCGAUCUCCUGGAACAUUACUGACGCUAAGGCGUGAAAGCGUGGGGAGCAAACAGGAUUAGAUACCCUAGUAGUC
This 440-nucleotide ribosomal RNA is filed under the name uncultured Sulfurimonas sp. RNAcentral's name for it is "bacterial SSU rRNA". It matches the Rfam family "Bacterial small subunit ribosomal RNA", at positions 338 to 795 of the family's 1533-position model. The record is from RNAcentral. Lineage: Bacteria; Pseudomonadati; Campylobacterota; Epsilonproteobacteria; Campylobacterales; Sulfurimonadaceae.